This 292-nucleotide ribosomal RNA is filed under the name uncultured prokaryote. RNAcentral's name for it is "partial 16S ribosomal RNA". It matches the Rfam family "Bacterial small subunit ribosomal RNA", at positions 505 to 796 of the family's 1533-position model. The record is from RNAcentral.
GUGUCAGCAGCCGCGGUAAUACGUAGGGGGCAAGCGUUGUCCGGAAUUAUUGGGCGUAAAGCGCGCGCAGGCGGUCCUUUAAGUCUGAUGUGAAAUCCUGUGGCUCAACCACAGGCUGCCAUUGGAAACUGGGGGACUUGAAUACAGAAGAGGAGAGUGGAAUUCCACGUGUAGCGGUGAAAUGCGUAGAGAUGUGGAGGAACACCAGUGGCGAAGGCGACUCUCUGGUCUGUAACUGACGCUGAGGUGCGAAAGCGUGGGUAGCAAACAGGAUUAGAAACCCGCGUAGUCC